This 58-nucleotide non-coding RNA is filed under the name Spodoptera frugiperda (fall armyworm). The record is from RNAcentral. Lineage: Eukaryota; Metazoa; Arthropoda; Insecta; Lepidoptera; Noctuidae.
UUAAGUAGGUUAUGUAUGACUUGUUUUAAGGUUUAAGUCUUACAAAGCCUGCUUAGAU